Molecule: non-coding RNA, 246 nt
Filed under: Escherichia coli
Lineage: Bacteria; Pseudomonadati; Pseudomonadota; Gammaproteobacteria; Enterobacterales; Enterobacteriaceae
Also listed under: 4 other names
Description: partial 16S ribosomal RNA
Rfam family: Bacterial small subunit ribosomal RNA
Source: RNAcentral
GUAGUCCGGAUUGGAGUCUGCAACUCGACUCCAUGAAGUCGGAAUCGCUAGUAAUCGUAGAUCAGAAUGCUACGGUGAAUACGUUCCCGGGCCUUGUACACACCGCCCGUCACACCAUGGGAGUGGGUUGCAAAAGAAGUAGGUAGCUUAACCUUCGGGAGGGCGCUUACCACUUUGUGAUUCAUGACUGGGGUGAAGUCGUAACAAGGUAACCGUAGGGGAACCUGCGGUUGGAUCACCUCCUUA